UACGAAGGGUGCAAGCGUUAAUCGGAAUUACUGGGCGUAAAGCGUGCGUAGGCGGUUUGUUAAGUCUGAUGUGAAAGCCCUGGGCUCAACCUGGGAAUGGCAUUGGAUACUGGCGAGCUAGAGUGCGGUAGAGGGUAGUGGAAUUCCCGGUGUAGCAGUGAAAUGCGUAGAGAUCGGGAGGAACAUCAGAGGCGAAGGCGGUGCCCUGGCAUUGGCCUGACGCUGAGAUGCGAAAGCGUGGGGAGCGAACGGG
This 253-nucleotide ribosomal RNA is filed under the name uncultured bacterium. Its description in RNAcentral is "partial 16S ribosomal RNA". It matches the Rfam family "Bacterial small subunit ribosomal RNA", at positions 524 to 776 of the family's 1533-position model. The record is from RNAcentral.